CAGCUUUUGAACCAUUUUAAUUUUCCUACAAAAGUGGGAUAUGCACUUCUUACAUCCUUAGGAAGGAAUGUAUUUGUGAUACAUCUAUGAAGUGUUCUAUAAGACAUACAGAUUUGGUUUAGCAGAGAUGUACAGCAUAGGCUUUAGUGGAUGUGCUGACAGUAACACUGGAACAUGGAAUCUAAUCUCACAUUGCCUCUACAGCAUUGGGUACCUGCCUUAAUUUUGUUAAAAUUUUUUUUUCUAGUUAAAAACAAAGAGUAGUUUACAGGCUCUCAUCCAACGAAAAGUUUUGUAAUUAGGCAGCUCUUUUCUCUAUGCUAUAAGGAACUAGAUAUAUCAAAAAUCUAAAAUGACUUAUGAUUGUGUUUUUGAACCCAGUAGUCCAACUGUAUAUUUUAAAUCUGAUUUUUAAAAAAUGUCUGGUAAGUAUAUUUUGAGACCAGAAAUACAAAGCAUUUCUUUCCUUUUGUCUCAGAUAAUUUU
RNAcentral lists this long non-coding RNA (486 nucleotides) under Bos taurus (domestic cattle). Its description in RNAcentral is "long non-coding RNA NONBTAT019534". The record is from RNAcentral. Lineage: Eukaryota; Metazoa; Chordata; Mammalia; Artiodactyla; Bovidae.